UGCCUAAUACAUGCAAGUCGAACGCGUUGGCCCAACUGAUUGAACGUGCUUGCACGGACUUGACGUUGGUUUACCAGCGAGUGGCGGACGGGUGAGUAACACGUAGGUAACCUGCCCCAAAGCGGGGGAUAACAUUUGGAAACAGAUGCUAAUACCGCAUAACAAUUUGAAUCGCAUGAUUCAAAUUUAAAAGAUGGCUUCGGCUAUCACUUUGGGAUGGACCUGCGGCGCAUUAGCUUGUUGGUAGGGUAACGGCCUACCAAGGCUGUGAUGCGUAGCCGAGUUGAGAGACUGAUCGGCCACAAUGGAACUGAGACACGGUCCAUACUCCUACGGGAGGCAGCAGUAGGGAAUCUUCCACAAUGGGCGCAAGCCUGAUGGAGCAACACCGCGUGAGUGAAGAAGGGUUUCGGCUCGUAAAGCUCUGUUGUUAGAGAAGAACGUGCGUGAGAGUAACUGUUCACGCAGUGACGGUAUCUAACCAGAAAGUCACGGCUAACUACGUGCCAGCAGCCGCGGUAAUACGUAGGUGGCAAGCGUUAUCCGGAUUUAUUGGGCGUAAAGCGAGCGCAGGCGGUUUGAUAAGUCUGAUGUGAAAGCCUUUGGCUUAACCAAAGAAGUGCAUCGGAAACUGUCAGACUUGAGUGCAGAAGAGGACAGU
This 661-nucleotide ribosomal RNA is filed under the name Limosilactobacillus mucosae. RNAcentral describes it as "bacterial SSU rRNA". It matches the Rfam family "Bacterial small subunit ribosomal RNA", at positions 45 to 662 of the family's 1533-position model. The record is from RNAcentral. Lineage: Bacteria; Bacillati; Bacillota; Bacilli; Lactobacillales; Lactobacillaceae.